This is a long non-coding RNA of Dendroctonus ponderosae (mountain pine beetle), 1954 nucleotides long. RefSeq lists it as uncharacterized. NCBI's taxonomy places the organism in Eukaryota, Metazoa, Arthropoda, Insecta, Coleoptera, Curculionidae. The transcript is spliced from 2 exons. The record is from RefSeq and is a predicted model, not a curated record.
CUGCAACAUAUAACCACUGCUAUUAAAUAGAAAUGGUUCGAGUUCAACGCGUUUGAGAAACGGGCAUAAGCUUUCGUACUAUAGUCGGCAACUGACGCUAAACUGAUAAAAAUAAAAUGAUCUCAGGAUGUCGCCGCGCCGAGUCGUCGCAUAAACUCAAAAUUGAUCCAUAAUUCUCUUGUUGGCGGCUUCUGUUCGAAACAAAAUAAAACAUAGAAGUCUAUACGUGAAUCCUAGUAGUGUGAUUCGUUUUCUUUUUGGAAAUAAACCGAAAUGUUAGUGCGCUCAGCUAUCUGAAUAGCUGAAAGUGGCGAAUGCCAGUGCGGUGAUAAUCCGUUCGAUUUUGUUUUAUUCAGUUGGUUUUGAGGCCAGUGAUCUAAGAGUGCAGAUCGCUGAUCGUUGUUUGCAGGGGAGCUUCUAUUAUUAGUCCGGUGCCUUGCCGUUCAUUCUUGUUCUGAUUUUUUAAGAAACCGACGACGUCAACAUGAGCGACACAGUAUUUUUACGAAAUACUAUCAGCACAAUAAAAAAUGCACUAUUUUUCUCAUUUCUUAAUAUAGUGUUCUUUCUAAUAAUAAUAUGCAGCACACUCAUAUAUCUUUUAGACAAUUUUGCAAGCUACUUAAAGAAAAAUUCGUAUUUUGCUCUGGUGUAAAUGUUACUUAUAACCUUAUUAUAUCAGGUAAUUUCUUCUUUUCUUGUAUUAAUAGACCUAAUUUAUUAAACCGUGAUCGUAAAUAAGAGUGAUUUUUAUUGAUAACACUAAGAUCUGAAAUUGCUUUGAGCCAACUGAGUUUCUAUGGGUCGAAAUAGUAUGGUUAGUUCGUAUAAAAAGAUAAGUGUAUUUUUGGAGUAAAAAUUUGUCAAUGAGAUUUUACUGCUCAAUAUGUUUGUCAAACUGCUUCAGCGCGAUUUUAGUGCCUGUAAGCAACAAGCUGUGAGUAACAAAUUUUUGCAUACUUUGAUUCAAUGGAUUGCACGCAAGUACAUUAUUAUUUAUCAUAGAAUAAACUUACUCAAUUUGCUUCCCAUGUAAGAUUCAACACAUUGCGAUCAUUUUAAGAAAAUUAUCUUGAAAGUCGUUGAUGUGUAUAUGGAAUCAGACUGUAAUUCACUUGCACCUUCACUUAUCACUAAACAGAAUCUAAAUGAAUUUCUUAAGUUCAUAUAUCUCUUAUGUGUAUAGGGAGAUAGAUAUAAUUACAGACAUGUACUUAACUAUGAACUAUUAUUGCUAGUUGUUUUCUCAUCGCGUUACUUCGAGACUUCAUUUAUAUGAGACAAAACCUAACUUAAUAAUUAUAUGUAUGCUUUCUCACAAAAUAGUUGUAUACCACCCAGUGUGUUUUUUUACCAUAGAAAUAAUACGGUUAUUCUUUAGGUGAUUAAUAUUAGUUGAUUAAUAAAUACCACACACGAAUAUCCGAAGCCUGAACUCGCAUCAUUUCGGAAAUAGAGGGCGUUGAAAUAAAAAAAAAUCAGCUUUUCCUUCAUCGAUUUUGAACCACCCAUUUAAUUAAGGCUAUGUAAUUAUAAAGUUAGGAGAAUAUGCUUCAGAAGUCAUUUGGCUUCCGAAUCUUACCUCAAUCCGAUUGAUUCAACAUUGGUUCAAAAAUUUUGAGGGCAAAUCGGGAAGGCAUUCACUUCUGCAAAACGAUGCGAUUUAAGAAAAAAAAUAUAUCCUGAGAUUGUUCUAACCUGUUCUAUCGAUUGUUCAAGAUUAGACCUGAAUCACCUUGUAUAUAAUAAAAUUGAUAAUAUUAAUGCGAAGAUGUUAGCUUUUAAGUGUUGUUUAAUCUCAUAAGGCUUAGGACUCUUAAUAUAUUUAUUUUAUUUAAUAUUUAUUACCAAAUUUUAAAUUAUCGGUCUUUUGUUGCGCAUUUUUAAGAAUUUUAGUUUGCGCCUGUAUGAAAAUCUGUACAAACAUGUAAGACAGUAAAUACGUUGUCACAAA